UAACAAGAUACUAAUAGCCGAUCGACAUAAAACUCGCAACACGGUGGUCUCUUCUUCUCUUUUUACUCGUAGAAAAACUGAGGCUGUUAUCUUCCCGCGACUCAUAUCACUCUCUCUCUCUUUCUUCCUCUCUUACUGGAAACUUGUACAUUAAUGGCCUCCAUUUCAACUCUUGGAAUUCCAUUCCAAUCCCCUGGAAGAGCUUCAACAUCCACAAGAUGUUGCAGACCGAUUGCAACUCUAACUUCUCACCAUCCAGAUGUUUGUAUUAAAAAAUGUGCCGGGGUCAUCGAGAGAAGACAAGUUAUAAUGUUAUCUGUUGGGUUACUGGCCGGAGCAGCUCUGCAGCAUUCUUCUUCAAAUAAAGAUGCUGCAGCUAUGGCAGCCGAAUUCACUGACAUGCCAGCUCUCAGGGGGAAGGAUUAUGGCAAAACAAAAAUGCGGUAUCCGGACUACACAGAAACAGAAUCAGGUCUUCAGUAUAAGGACUUGCGAGCAGGAAAUGGUCCCUUGCCUAAGAUGGGAGAGACGGUUGUGGUCGAUUGGGAUGGUUACACCAUAGGAUACUAUGGUCGCAUAUUUGAAGCUCGAAACAAGACAAAAGGUGGCUCCUUUGAGGGAGAUGACAAGGACUUCUUCAAAUUCAGACUAGGAUCCAGAGAGGUUAUACCUGCUUUUGAAGAAGCUGUUUCAGGAAUGGCCCCGGGUGGCAUUAGAAGGAUCAUUGUGCCCCCAGAACUAGGAUAUCCUGAGAAUGACUACAACAAGAGUGGGCCAAGACCAACAACAUUUUCGGGUCAACGAGCCUUGGAUUUUGUGUUGAGGAACCAAGGGCUGAUAGACAAAACUUUGCUGUUCGAUAUUGAACUCCUUAAAGUAAUCCCAGGCUAACUCCGAGCUGAUUCCCCUGUCAGGGUGUACGUAUUCCACUAUUGCCGUCAAACAUUCAGGACAUCAAAUAAUUGCAUAAUCACCCAUGUAUCACAGUCCUCCCAUUCUGGUGAUUUACACAUGUCAAGACCACAAGACUGAAUUAUUGAAUGCUUUACUACUCGACUGUUGGAACAUUUGAUUGUCAAAUGUUGACACGUUCUUAAUGUUGUAAUUGAGACUUGAGAGCGUAAUUUCCGCGCGCUUUGUGUUGUGGAAGACGAUACGGUAGGGCCUUCUGCCAAACUGGCUAAGCAAAGACUAAUUAUUGGUGUCA
Populus trichocarpa (black cottonwood) is the source of this 1207-nucleotide RNA transcript. It is a transcript of the gene named peptidyl-prolyl cis-trans isomerase FKBP19, chloroplastic, with no coding region annotated. The transcript has 11 exons. The record is from RefSeq and is a predicted model, not a curated record. NCBI's taxonomy places the organism in Eukaryota, Viridiplantae, Streptophyta, Magnoliopsida, Malpighiales, Salicaceae.